AUAUGAAGGCUGCACCGCCAACAGGCGGCAAGGCUGGAGUAUUUUAUUACCCUUGUCUUUUGCGCACUUGUUGUUUCCUGGGCGGGUUCGCCCGCCUCCAGGACCACAUGAUAAACCUUUUUUAUGCAGUUGCAAUCAGCGUCAGUACAACAAAUGUAAAUCAUUUACAACUUUCAACAACGGAUCUCUUGGUUCUGGCAUCGAUGAAGAACGCAGCGAAAUGCGAUACGUAGUGUGAAUUGCAGAAUUCAGUGAAUCAUCGAAUCUUUGAACGCACAUUGCGCCCUUUGGUAUUCCAAAGGGCAUGCCUGUUCGAGCGUCAUUUGUACCCUCAAGCUUUGCUUGGUGUUGGGCGUUUUUUGUCUUUGGUUUUGUCCAAAGACUCGCCUUAAAACGAUUGGCAGCCGGCCUACUGGUUUCGCAGCGCAGCACAUUUUUGCGCUUGCAAUCAGCAAAAGAGGACGGCACUCCAUCAAGACUCUAUAUCACUUUUGACCUCGGAUCAGGUAGGGAUACCCGCUGAACUUAAGCUAAUCAAUAAGCGGAGGAA
Molecule: ribosomal RNA, 550 nt
Filed under: uncultured Curvularia
Lineage: Eukaryota; Fungi; Ascomycota; Dothideomycetes; Pleosporales; Pleosporaceae
Description: eukaryotic LSU rRNA
Rfam family: 5.8S ribosomal RNA (bases 169-322)
Source: RNAcentral